UAACGAAUAUUCCGCAAUGCGCGAAAGCGUGACGGAGCAAUGCCGCGUGUGGGAUGAAGCAUCUAGGUGUGUAAACCACUGUCAGGGUUUAGGAAACAAAUGACCAGACCCAAAGGAAGAGCCGGCUAACUCUGUGCCAGCAGCCGCGGUAAUACAGAGGGCUCAAGCGUUAAUCGGAAUCACUGGGCUUAAAGGGUCCGCAGGCGGAUUGGUAAGUAUCUUGUGAAAUACCAUGGCUCAACCAUGGAAUUGCUCGGUAAACUGCCAAUCUUGAACACGGUAGGGGCCAUCGGAACUCUAGGUGGAGCGGUGAAAUGCGUAGAUAUCUAGAGGAACGCCAGAGGCGAAGGCGGAUGGCUGGGCCGUUGUUGACGCUCAGGGACGAAAGCAUGGGUAGCGAACGGGAUUAGAUACCCCCGUAGUCC
RNAcentral lists this ribosomal RNA (425 nucleotides) under uncultured prokaryote. RNAcentral describes it as "bacterial SSU rRNA". It matches the Rfam family "Bacterial small subunit ribosomal RNA", at positions 355 to 796 of the family's 1533-position model. The record is from RNAcentral.